Molecule: RNA transcript, 2267 nt
Organism: Solanum pennellii
Lineage: Eukaryota; Viridiplantae; Streptophyta; Magnoliopsida; Solanales; Solanaceae
Gene name: threonine synthase, chloroplastic
Exons: 3
Source: RefSeq, a predicted model, not a curated record
UAGACAAAAGCCGCGUCUUCUCAGCUUCACAAUCACACAACAAUGGCGGCUUCUUGCAUGCUUAGAUCCUCUUUCCUCUCUCCUGGUCUUCCUCAACUUCAUCAUCAAUCAACUUCAAAACCCAAUAAUGGUAUUCAUUUCUUCACUCCGAUUAAAGCUACAGCCACAAACGAUGCGAUUUCUCAACAGAAGCACCGCCGUCCUGCGGACGAGAACAUCCGUGAAGAAGCGCGCCGUCACUGCUCAUCUCAUAAUUUUUCAGCCAGGUAUGUUCCUUUUAAUGCUGGUCCUACUUCUGAUGAAUGGUAUUCUCUAGAUGAGAUUGUUUAUCGGAGUCGGUCUGGUGGAUUACUUGAUGUUCAGCAUGAUAUGGAUGCCUUAAAGAAGUUCGAUGGUCAGUAUUGGCGAUCCUUGUUUGAUUCUCGUGUUGGUAAGACUACUUGGCCUUAUGGGUCCGGUGUUUGGUCUAAGAAGGAAUGGGUUCUGCCUGAAAUUGAUAGCGAUGAUAUUGUUAGUGCUUUUGAAGGGAACUCGAAUCUGUUUUGGGCUGAGCGUUUUGGCAAACAGUUUCUAGGCAUGACUGAUUUGUGGGUCAAACACUGUGGGAUUAGCCAUACUGGUAGUUUUAAGGAUCUUGGGAUGACUGUUUUGGUGAGUCAAGUUAAUCGGUUGCGGAAAAUGCAUAAACCAGUCGUCGGUGUGGGGUGUGCUUCUACUGGAGACACAUCUGCGGCCCUGUCGGCUUACUGUGCAUCUGCAGGCAUUCCGUCAAUUGUAUUUCUACCUGCGAAUAAGAUUUCUAUGGCGCAACUGGUUCAACCUAUUGCAAAUGGGGCUUUCGUGUUGAGUAUUGACACUGAUUUUGAUGGUUGUAUGCAGUUGAUUCGUGAAGUUACUGCUGAGUUGCCUAUUUACUUGGCAAAUUCGUUGAAUAGUUUGAGGUUGGAAGGGCAAAAGACGGCAGCAAUCGAGAUUUUGCAGCAGUUUGAUUGGGAAGUUCCGGAGUGGGUGAUAGUUCCUGGUGGGAACUUAGGCAACAUAUAUGCAUUUUAUAAAGGUUUUCAGAUGUGCAAAGAGUUGGGACUUGUGGAUCGCAUCCCUAGGCUUGUUUGUGCUCAAGCUGCCAACGCUAAUCCGCUCUACUUGCAUUACAAAUCUGGUUGGAAAGACUUCAAACCUGUGAAGGCGAACACAACAUUUGCAUCUGCUAUACAGAUUGGUGACCCAGUGUCUAUAGACAGAGCUGUUUUUGCCCUGCAGAACUGCAACGGGAUAGUGGAGGAGGCAACCGAGGAGGAGUUGAUGGAUGCUAUGGCUCAGGCAGACUCGACUGGGAUGUUCAUUUGCCCGCAUACUGGUGUGGCAUUGACUGCGCUGUUCAAGCUGAGAAACAGUGGAGUCAUUGCACCAACUGAUAGGACUGUGGUUGUGAGUACAGCUCAUGGAUUGAAGUUUACUCAAUCCAAGAUUGAUUACCACUCAAAGGAAAUAAAAGACAUGGAAUGUCGGUUUUCUAACCCACCUGUGGAAGUGAAAGCAGAUUUUGGAUCAGUUAUGGAUGUUCUGAAGAGCUAUUUGUUGAGCCAAAAUUCCAAGCUAUGAUGUGUUGUCAGUUCUAAACAUAGGUUAAACGCACACUGGAGUAUAGACUGAAAGUGCUGGCUGACAAAGAAUGAGAUCAGGUGAAGGACCUUGCAUUUUUGUCCUACAAUCUUCAGUUUCUAAUGGGGUGAGGCGCUGAGUGAUUUGCAUCUCAUUCUGGAAGUUUGAAAUAACUUGAAGAACAGCAGUACUUUAAGGUAUCAGAUUCUUUCUCUUAAUCUAAUCGCAUAGCUUCUAGAAAGUUGCAUCGGUUCUUCAUUGGGUACCUGCUACCUCCUAGUAACACAGUUAAUCGUGUCCUGAAUAGAUGGAAAUCGGCCUUACUGAGAUAUAUGGUUCCCGCCCUACCUGAUUGAUCAAGAAAUUCCAUUUUGAGUUUAUUUAUUUUCGUGCUUUCGCUUUUUGUAAACACAGAUGCUGUCUCUUAUUUUGUUGAUGCAACGAGCUUGUUUUGUACAAUGGAGAGACCAAGCAUUAGUCCCUCUCCUAUCAAACUCUGAUCCCAUUACUUUCUACACAAGAUGUCAAGCAUCAUAUGGGGUUAAAAGACUAGUGCUAUACGAUGUUUAUCUGCAUUGGGGUCCUAUUAAAUUCAGAUUAGCGCAUUGUAGAGCUUAUUUUUUUGGGAUGACACUCUAAAUAAGAUUUUUUUUUACCAUUCUCAA